RNAcentral lists this ribosomal RNA (253 nucleotides) under uncultured bacterium. RNAcentral's name for it is "partial 16S ribosomal RNA". It matches the Rfam family "Bacterial small subunit ribosomal RNA", at positions 524 to 776 of the family's 1533-position model. The record is from RNAcentral.
UACGGAGGGUGCAAGCAUUAAUCGGAUUUAUUGGGCGUAAAGGGCGCGUAGGCGGACUUUUAAGUCAGAUGUGAAAUACCAGAGCUCAACUCUGGUGCUGCAUUUGAAACUGGAAGACUUGAGGGUUGAAGGAGAAAACGGAAUUCCACAUGUAGCGGUGAAAUGCGUAGAUAUGUGGAAGAACACCUGUGGCGAAAGCGGUUUUCUAUUUAAUACCUGACGCUGAGGCGCGAGAGCAAGGGGAGCAAACAGG